This 482-nucleotide ribosomal RNA is filed under the name uncultured bacterium. Its description in RNAcentral is "partial 16S ribosomal RNA". It matches the Rfam family "Bacterial small subunit ribosomal RNA", at positions 28 to 523 of the family's 1533-position model. The record is from RNAcentral.
AGUGAACGUUGGCGGCGUGGAUUAGGCAUGCGAGUCGAGCGAGAACCGUAGCAAUACGGGGACAGCGGCGAAAGGGACAGUAAUAUGUAGGUACCUACCCUCGGGUCCGGGAUAGCUGCGGGAAACUGCAGGUAAUACCGGCUGACAUCUCCGGAUCAAAGGUGUGAUUCCGCUCGGGGAGGGGCCUGCAUCCUAUUAGCUUGUUGGUGGGGUAACGGCCUACCAAGGCGACGAUGGGGAGCGGGUGUGAGAGCAUGACCCGCGUCAGUGGGACUGAGACACUGCCCAGACACCUACGGGUGGCUGCAGUCGAGAAUCUUCGGCAAUGGGGGCAACCCUGACCGAGCGACGCCGCGUGCGGGAUGAAGGCCUUCGGGUUGUAAACCGCUGUCGUAGAGGAGGAAAUGCAGGGGGGUUCUCCCCUCUGUUUGACCUAUUCUAGGAGGAAGGACGGGCUAAGUUCGUGCCAGCAGCCGCAGUAA